This 468-nucleotide ribosomal RNA is filed under the name uncultured bacterium. RNAcentral's name for it is "partial 16S ribosomal RNA". It matches the Rfam family "Bacterial small subunit ribosomal RNA", at positions 28 to 507 of the family's 1533-position model. The record is from RNAcentral.
GACGAACGCUGGCGGCGUGCUUAACACAUGCAAGUCGAACGGAAAGGCCCUGCUUUUGUGGGGUGCUCGAGUGGCGAACGGGUGAGUAACACGUGAGUAACCUGCCCUUGACUUUGGGAUAACUUCAGGAAACUGGGGCUAAUACCGGAUAGGAGCUCCUGCUGCAUGGUGGGGGUUGGAAAGUUUCGGCGGUUGGGGAUGGACUCGCGGCUUAUCAGCUUGUUGGUGGGGUAGUGGCUUACCAAGGCCUUGACGGGUAGCCGGCCUGAGAGGGGGACCGGCCACAUUGGGACGGAGAUACGGCCCGGACUCGUACGGGAGGGAGGGGUGGGGAAGGGUGGACAGGGGGCGGGGGGCUGGUGCAGCAACGCCGCGUGGGGGAUGAGGGGCUGGGGGUUGGAAAGCGCUGUCGCCUGUGACGGAGCGUGAGUGACGGUAAUGGGUGAAGAAGCACCGGCUAACUACGUG